GGAAAAAAUGAAAAUGCAAGCCUCUUGUUCAGCAGCUGCUCUAUCUUCUUGAAUUCAUAACAAUGGCCUUUAUGGUCCCUGAUGCCUCUACCACCCUAUGUGGAUCCCUGCAAGGUCCCAGCCGUAAAGACUUCUCUCAAUUCUUCCUCGCCUGAACUGCCCCCAAGCUUUCCUGUGUCAAGCUAACCUUCUCCAGCUGCAGCACCAUCAAGAAAAUCUCCUCUC
Long non-coding RNA from Fukomys damarensis (Damara mole-rat), 225 nucleotides. RefSeq lists it as uncharacterized. The transcript is spliced from 3 exons. NCBI's taxonomy places the organism in Eukaryota, Metazoa, Chordata, Mammalia, Rodentia, Bathyergidae. The record is from RefSeq and is a predicted model, not a curated record.